Molecule: ribosomal RNA, 496 nt
Filed under: uncultured bacterium
Lineage: Bacteria
Description: partial 16S ribosomal RNA
Rfam family: Bacterial small subunit ribosomal RNA
Source: RNAcentral
AUGAACGCUGGCGGCGUGCCUAAUACAUGCAAGUCGAGCGAACAGACGAGGAGCUUGCUCCUCUGACGUUAGCGGCGGACGGGUGAGUAACACGUGGAUAACCUACCUAUAAGACUGGGAUAACUUCGGGAAACCGGAGCUAAUACCGGAUAAUAUAUUGAACCGCAUGGUUCAAUAGUGAAAGACGGUUUUGCUGUCACUUAUAGAUGGAUCCGCGCCGCAUUAGCUAGUUGGUAAGGUAACGGCUUACCAAGGCAACGAUGCGUAGCCGACCUGAGAGGGUGAUCCGCCACACUGGAACUGAGACACGGUCCAGACUCCUACGGGAGGCAGCAGUAGGGAAUCGUCCGCAAUGGGCGAAAGCUUGACGGAGCAACGCCGCGUGAGUGAUGAAGGUCUUCGGAUCGUAAAACUCUGUUAUUAGGGAAGAACAAAUGUGUAAGUAACUAUGCACGUCUUGACGGUACCUAAUCAGAAAGCCACGGCUAACUACGUG